AAUCACGAUUUUUUUUUCAAUCACUGAUGAUGUAGGAACAAACCUACUCAUUGUUCUCAGGAAGUUAUUCUGUGAAGGGAAAAUGACCAUAAAACAAUAAACAACUAAUUAUGUAAUGACAGAUCUGAACCAAGGCUGGGGAUUUCACCUUUCUUGACCAGAAAAAACUAGUUUUCCUUUAAUGGACCUUUUACAUCAAACUGAUAACCCUGAGUGAAAUGUCCCAAUUGGUACUAACAAAAAAAAGUCUAAGAUACCAAGUCCAUUUCUAAGAACUCCAUAAUCCUCAUUUGACUGCAUCUAUUAAUGAAAGGAUACAGACCAGGCAGAAGGACUCCAUCUACAAAGGUUGCCCUUGAUGCCGGCAGAUGCAAUAUCCAGAUUAUCUCAUCUGCAGGAAGUGAGUAAAAGAGAGAAGAGUGGAAAGGAAGAAGGGAGAGAGGGGCAGAAUAAAAAGAAAGAGAAACAGUGUGCCUUCUCUGAGAUACAAAGGAGGUGCCAACAUCCUUUGCCAACAGCAAGAGCCACAGCAAGCCUAACCUCAUAUUCUAAUAUGAGCACAUAUAUUCUAACAACCAUUCGACUGAUUGUAAUGGCACAGAUUCCGACAAAAAGCUUCUUAUAAGCUAAAUGAAAUUGAGAGAGAUGCUACAAAACAGAAGCCUGGCCAUCAGUCCUUGUGAAGGGAACAGGAUUCUCUGUGUCCUCGGAGAAGAGGGGAAGACCAGUUUGCAAGGAUGGAAUAAUCUUUACUUCCCACAGAGUAGGUAGCACACGAUAUAAAACAAAAUGGUUUAUUUAAAAGGACUAACCUGUAACAACAACACUCAGUUUUGUGAAGGCAACUCUCUGUUAUUUUACUUGGAAAAGAAUGGGGUAAAACAUAAACAUCUUCAAACAAACCAAUACAGUGGUGGUUUAAUGUAAAAUUGUUUCUAAAGACAGCAGUGCUUUCAGUGGAGCCAGUUCAUUGGGGAAAUACAUAUAUAUGUGUGUGUGUGUAUCAUNNNNNNNNNNAUAGAUAGAUAGAUAGAUAGAUAGAUAGAUAGAUAGAUAGAUAGAUAGAUAGAAUGUGCCGCUAUGAG
This 1085-nucleotide long non-coding RNA is filed under the name Mus spicilegus (steppe mouse). Its description in RNAcentral is "lncRNA (ENSMSIG00000004827.1)". The record is from RNAcentral. Lineage: Eukaryota; Metazoa; Chordata; Mammalia; Rodentia; Muridae.